GGGCGGUUAGCUCAGGGGUAGAGCAUUGCCUUCACACGGCAAAGGUCACUGGUUCGAUCCCAGUAUCGCCUA
Molecule: transfer RNA, 72 nt
Filed under: Candidatus Burkholderia pumila
Lineage: Bacteria; Pseudomonadati; Pseudomonadota; Betaproteobacteria; Burkholderiales; Burkholderiaceae
Description: tRNA-Val
Rfam family: tRNA
About the family: Transfer RNA (tRNA) molecules are approximately 80 nucleotides in length.
Source: RNAcentral